GACGAACGCUGGCGGCGUGCUUAACACAUGCAAGUCGAACGAAGUGGCGAACGGGUGUGUAACGCGUAAUCAACCUGCCCUUCAGAGGGGGACAACAGUUGGAAACGACUGCUAAUACCGCAUACUGAAGGAGGGGAUUGCGUCUGAUUAGCUAGUUGGAUGGGUAACGGCCCACCAAGGGGAUGAUCAGUAGCCCGUCUGGGAGGUGGAACGGCCAAAUAGGGACUGAGACACGGCCCAGACUCCUAAGGGAGGCAGCAGUGGGGAAUCUUCCGCAAUGGACGAAAGUCUGACGGGGCAACGCCGGGUGGGUGAUGACGGCCUUCGGGUUGUAAAGCUCUGUUAAUCGGGACGCGGUACCGGAAUAGAAAGCCACGGCUAACUACGUGCCAGCAGCCGCGGUAAUAC
RNAcentral lists this ribosomal RNA (408 nucleotides) under uncultured bacterium. Its description in RNAcentral is "partial 16S ribosomal RNA". It matches the Rfam family "Bacterial small subunit ribosomal RNA", at positions 28 to 526 of the family's 1533-position model. The record is from RNAcentral.